Molecule: long non-coding RNA, 467 nt
Filed under: Physeter macrocephalus (sperm whale)
Lineage: Eukaryota; Metazoa; Chordata; Mammalia; Artiodactyla; Physeteridae
Description: Physeter catodon (sperm whale) lncRNA (ENSPCTG00005010481.1)
Source: RNAcentral
UGUGUGUCUGUGUGUUGAGUGUGAGUGUGUAUGUGUGUGUAGGGGUCGGGGUGGGGGGGUCCGUGUUCGCGAUCUGAACCUUUGGUACCUACAAGGAGGGUGUCUCACCGAACGGUAGCUAAGACCUCACCAGGACCGCGCGAAGUGAGGAGUCGCGUCCAAAGGCGCCCGCCGGAGCCUCGUCUCUGGGCCGGACCCCAACCCGAGCGGCCGAAAGGAACCCCCCGCCCGGAUCACAGCUGCCGCUGAAAUUCGCUGCGGCCGCUGCCUCUUCCCGCUUUAAUCCCAGACCUCCAGUCAUUGGGCAGCUCCUCAGAGGCAAGAAGUCAACACCAUGGCAACCCGACAAGCCUAUCAGAUCACCGGCUGGUGUGACAGCAGCAACGCUGCAGGCUGGAGUGGGCUGGGCAGAAGAGCAGAGUGGCCUCUACGCUCAGCGACAAAAUGAUACCAUCAUUUUUAUGUGA